AGUGAACGCUGGCGGUAGGCCUAACACAUGCAAGUAGAACGGCAGCACAGUAAGAGCUUGCUCUUACGGGUGGCGAGUGGCGGACGGGUGAGGAAUACAUCGGAAUCUACUUUUUCGUGGGGGAUAACGUAGGGAAACUUACGCUAAUACCGCAUACGACCUACGGGUGAAAGCAGGGGAUCUUCGGACCUUGCGCGAUUGAAUGAGCCGAUGUCGGAUUAGCUAGUUGGCGGGGUAAAGGCCCACCAAGGCGACGAUCCGUAGCUGGCCUGAGAGGAUGAUCAGCCACACUGGAACUGAGACACGGUCCAGACUCCUACGGGAGGCAGCAGUGGGGAAUAUUGGACAAUGGGCGCAAGCCUGAUCCAGCCAUACCGCGUGGGUGAAGAAGGCCUUCGGGUUGUAAAGCCCUUUUGUUGGGAAAGAAAAGCAGCAGGUUAAUACCCCGCUGUUCUGACGGUACCCAAAGAAUAAGCACCGGCUAACUUCGUG
RNAcentral lists this ribosomal RNA (492 nucleotides) under uncultured bacterium. Its description in RNAcentral is "partial 16S ribosomal RNA". It matches the Rfam family "Bacterial small subunit ribosomal RNA", at positions 29 to 507 of the family's 1533-position model. The record is from RNAcentral.